Molecule: ribosomal RNA, 500 nt
Filed under: uncultured bacterium
Lineage: Bacteria
Description: partial 16S ribosomal RNA
Rfam family: Bacterial small subunit ribosomal RNA
Source: RNAcentral
AUUGAACGCUGGCGGAAUGCUUUACACAUGCAAGUCGAACGGCAGCACGGACUUCGGUCUAGUGGCGAGUGGCGAACGGGUGAGUAAUGUAUGGGAACGUGCCCAGUCGGGGGGGAUACGGUAGUGAAAAUUACGCUAAUACCGCAUACGAUCUAGGGAUGAGAGCGGGGGAUCGAAAGCCCGCGCGCGAUUGGAGCGGCCGAAAUCAGAUUAGGUAGUUGGUGGGGUAAAGGCCCACCAAGCCAACGAUCUGUAGCUGGUCUGAGAGGACGACCAGCCACACUGGAACUGAGACACGGUCCAGACUCCUACGGGAGGCAGCAGUGGGGAAUUUUGGACAAUGGGCGAAAGCCUGAUCCAGCCAUUCCGCGUGCAGGAUGAAGGCCCUCGGGUUGUAAACUGCUUCUGUACAGAACGAAAAGGUUUCUACUAAUACUAGGAGCUCAUGACGGUACUGUAAGAAUAAGCACCGGCUAACUACGUGCCAGCAGCCGCCGUAA